AGCAUAGUUUCCUAUACAACUCUUUAACUAAAUUUCUCUUUAAGCAUUUUCUUUCUAUUCCUAUUAUGGCCACUGUUGAGGUAACUAUAUUUCCUUUAAUUAUAUGUGCUGUUUUCAGUAGGUGCCAACCUAGCCACGCAAAAAUCCGAAAAAAAUGGAGCGGGCCAGGAUGGACAUUUUUUAAGGCGCUGACGGAUCCGUGGACAUUACAUAUUUAAAGUUUAAAAAUUGCAAAAAUUUAUAUUAAUAUUGGCAUGACGGAUAAGGGCGGGAUGAACAUAUUAGAACGUCCAGGUCUAAAACCUUGGCCCGCUCCGAAAAGAUGCGCGUUAAACAGGCUCGGUAGAGCGGGCCCCCUAGUUUUCAUUUUGAUUUUUAACAACUGCUUAAGCAAUUUGUGUUCAUAUUUUGAUCUUUGUAGGUUGUAUCUACAAAGACUGCACUCUCGGACGACACCACCGGGUUAUUAUUGAAAUCUGAUGAGAAAACCACUGAAGAAGUUCUUGAGAGUCCAAUUGCACCAGCAGCAUCAGAAGCAAAAGAAGAAAAAGAAGAAGAAGCUGUAGUAGAAUCUUCAGUUGCAGAAGCAAAAGUACCUUUGAUUGAAUCUGAAACUAAAGAGGUGGUAGAAGAAACUGUGACUGUGAAAGACACCGAGGAGGAAACAAAGAAGGAAGAAGAAACUGAGAAAGAGGAACCUGUUGAGGAGACAAAAGAAAAUGCUGAUUCUGUUGUUGAUGUUAUUCAGGAACCACCAACUGCAGAAUCUGAGACAGUAAAAAAUGUUGUUAAGGAUGAGAAUGUGAUAGAUGAGCCUGAAACUAAGGACAAUGUUAACACAGAAGAAGCACCAAAGGAGAAAGCCGAGGAGAACGUUGAGAAAGAAGAAGCCAUAGAUGAGAAGAAAGAGGAGGAAGUGAUCACCAAAUCUGAGGCAGAAAUAGAGAAGAGUGAGUAAGGAAAAAUGUGAAGUAUAUGAAAACUGUUUAAGUUUCAUGUGUUGUUGUUGAAUGUGUUUUUGCUGUUACUUGUUUGUUAGUGGUGUAAUAAAAUAGCUAUAGUAUUACUACUAGUAGCUAAAUCUAAAUGCAUGUUGCUGUGUGUGUGAUUCUGCAUAAUUGUUUUGUAUGUUAAUCUGUUCAAAUAAAUAUUUAGAUUAUUUGUAUUUCUUUGAGCAAUGAUUUGUAUACUACAUAAAUUCCCUAAAGAUGUAAAGAAGAUAAAUAUGUCAUCACCAAAUGCAAUUAUUUCUUUCUUCUGCACUUGUUUUAUCAAUAGCAUAUUUCUACUUAUUUCUCCACCAAAUCAAAAUUUAAGACCUUAAUAACACAAUUGUCAGGAGUGUCAUUCUGCCAAGCACAUCACGCAUUGAUGUAUAAGUUGCGAGCAUUUUGCUUUAUGAUUUAGCACCCGACGAAGAUGCUGAGGCCGUUCCUAUGGACGCCGAGGCGGGUGGUGAGGCCGAUGACGAGUUAGAUCGAAGAUAACGACACUUUCGGGCACUUACACACCAUACCCGCACCCCAUCUCUCGGCCAUCUCACUUCCUCCUAUGCAUUAUUCACCUGCACCCACCACACAAUAUUAUACUGACACUUUUGCAGGUUCAUCAUCAUGGCACCAGUUGGCUACAUGAUAUGAUUAUAAUGCCUUUAGGAAUGAGAUCGUGGACUUGAGAUACGAGGUCGAGGCAAAGAACGAUGUUGAUUCGGAGCGUGAUCAUCUAUUUUAUGUCAUGCAUCAGCAACAAACCAAUAUGAUGGAUAACUUGCGGACUAUUCAGGCUACAAAGGUUUAGAGUCAGAAUAUGAUACAGACCAUGACCGACCAGAUGCAUAGUAUGAUCCGAGAAAUGGAUGAUAGGGAACACAUAGCUUUUUAGCGAUAGCAGGUGUAUGAUGAGAUGUUGGGCGCUAUUCUUUAUUAUCUGCAGAGUAUGGGUAUCCAUCGCCUCCUGCGCAGGGUCCUCACCAAAGACGAGGCCGAGGUCGAUGACGAUACUGAUUUUCCUCCUGACCAGGUUCUACCUCCCUCUCUUUCUCUUAUUUGCUUACAUGGAGGACAAUGUAAGAUUUAAGUAUGGGGGCAUUUACCGCUUUCAUUUACAUUUACCAUUUUUCAUUAUUAUUGCUAUCUUGUUUUAUUAUGCUUCCUUAGUUUAAUUCUAUGUUAUUGCUUUUUUUCUUUUGUAGGGAAGUGUAUUGAGUCUUUUGCAUGUGAUAUCGAGUCUUUUAUGCGUGGUUUUCUACUUGUUAUUGGAUUCUCUGAUUACUUGAUCCAUUCUGAAAAUUUUUGAAAAUUUUGAAAAGGCUUAGGAAGCUUAGCUUGAUUUGAAAGUAUAUAGCCUUAAAAAGAAGUGAGGUGAGGUUGAGGAGACUUGGGAAAAUCCGACAAAAUCGGUAUUGUCCUAACACCUCAAGCUUCCCAAAUAUGUAUGUUAGUUUAAAUUUCCAUUGAGCCUUAGUCUUGAACUCGUAUUUGGUGGUAAUCCUCGAGUAGUUUUUAUAUCCGGUCAGACACCAUCUAUAAGAACACAUUUGAGUGGGUUGGUUGACGAAUAAUAAGUGAAUAAUCGAUUUCUAAUAAUAAAAAAAAUGAAUAAAAAGGGAAUACUACAUUUACUAAGAUAUGUGACUCUCACCCGGUCAUUUAGCCCAAAGAAGUGGUUGAGCCUUCAAAAGAAAAAAUACAUCUUUAAAAAAGAAAGAAAAUUUGUGGAAAUCUAAUGAGAUGUUUUGAUCAUAAUCACUAACAGACCGUCUGCCAUGUGUGUAAGAUAAAGGGGCUUAAUGUGACUGUCCCGAACGAAAGAGGAGGCAACAAGUAGGAACCUCAGAAUUUGAUAUAAAACGGAACGGUUCGAAUUAGUAUGCAUAGGAGGGAGACUUGUGACUGUGAGAGUGGUUUGUGUUGUCACAAUAUCAUUAGUGUCGACAUUAGUACCUAUCGAGUCAAUUUUAGUUGAACGUAUUUUUAUAGCCACGUAUGAGUAAAUUCAAUGCUUUAUUUUCCUUUUGUCUUUAUACUAUACUGAUGCAUUUCAUUGAUUAAUAUGUUGGCUGACUCGCUUGAGUAGAAGAAAGGGUUCAAGUGGAGGGGAGUUUGAUAACUCGAAAAAAGUAUCGUGAUUUUGAAUUGAUUCACAUGCCAUUUUGAGUAUUUUGGUUGUAAGAGUGUCUGUGCGAGAAAACGAUGCGAAAUAGCAAAAACGGGAGCAAAAUGCAAUUCUGCAUUGUCAUGAUACCCACCUUGCCAACAUGAUGCUCAUCAUGACGUGGCGCCUUGAAGACCAUCAGCACUAAAAGAUAAAAUCAGAAGAAUUUGACUGCUAGCAGGAUGACGGGUAGGUCGUCAAUCAGAUGACGUCCGUCAUCCUUCCAUGACGCCCAAGACGUCAAGACCACGACUCCCGCAAAUCGCCAUGGUGUUGCCGUUCAUAAAUUUUUGGCACAUUUUCAAUUUUAGCUCUAUAAAUAGGUCCAUAAAUUCAAUUUUCACAUCCAUGUUUUUUAGAAUUUAUUUUAGGCAAAAAUUUCUUUUUAUUAAAGAGGUUAUUUUCUCAAACUGAGAGAUAUAUGCACUUUAGGUUAAGAUUCUCCAAAUAUCUAGAUUGUUUUUGGAUCAUUCAAGUUGUAAUCUUGUUCACAUUAACUUUCCAAAAAAAUUAUUCAGAAUUUAUUUUGUAUUAGAAUUGGAGCUUUUUUUAUUCUUUACGUAAUUGUUCAAUGCAUACCAGGUUCUUCUUUUACUGCUUUUAUUAAUUUAAUUUUCAGUAUAGUAUUUGUUAAUAUGUUUAGUUUUAAUUUUCAAUAUAGUAUUUAUUAUGUUUCAAUUAUGCCCGACUAAAUUUUUAGAGUUCAGAAUGCGAGGACCUUUGUCCUGACAAAGAAAUCUCCUUAUACUCCAAAACAAAUCUCACUAUACCCUCUUAUGUUUCAAACUACCACACAUUAAUACCCCCUAUUAUUUGUUAUGUUUCAAUUAUGUUUCAAACUACCACACUAAUACUCCAAAACAAAUCUCCUUAUACCCUCUUAUGUGACAAAGAACCCGACUUAAAGUUUUUUUUUAUGCUUGGUACAUGCAUCAACCUUUCAAUUACACAUAUCAAAAUUAGAAGUCAGGGCUAGAAAAUAUGCUUUCUUAGGAUACAUCCUUUCAUGAGCAUAUAAUUCCCUAUCUAGCACUUAGUACAUCUCUAACCAACAAUUGGAGCUUAUAUCCAACACAUGACUUAUCUCAACCUAUCAAACAAAUUACCACACCUGCCCAAAUACCACAAAACACCAUACCUGAAUCACAUCACAAUACUUCUCAAUCCAUAUCGUCACCAAAUCCCAAAAUUAAUCUUAAGCAUGUAUUGUUGAUGAUAGUGAUCACACAUUUUUAACUACCGAGACAUCUGUACUUCGACACAUACUCACAUGCGAUAAAAAUGAUUAAUUAAUUUAUUUAUUUAAAUAAAAAACAAAGAAAGAAAACUAAUAAAAUGUGUAAAGUGAUAACGAAGUGUAAAACAAGUGGGAGAAAAAUUAAGGUUCCAUUCUAUAUAUUUUAAAUGAAUAUACAUCAUUCAAUUUCAACCACUAGUUUCUUUUCAAAAAACCCGGAUUGGAUAAAUUGGAGCAAUUCUCACUAUAGAAAGAACUAGUUAUUGUGAGUGACAGAAAAAUGGCAUCACUGCUAUCAAACACAAGAAUAAUAAGUGCAAGAAAUGAAGUGUAUGUGGCAGCAAUGCCUCUAAGGGCUACAAAGGGUCCACCCCAAUUGCUUAUGUCUGCUGCCUAUUCCCUUAAUUUAUGGGAUUUUCAGCAUCUCAUGGUUAUCCUCAAACCUUCAUCCUCUUCACAGGUUCUGGUUUUUGAUUUUCAACCAAAAGAUCCUGAAAAUAUAUAUGUAGCCCUAUCAGCUUUAUUUGGAAGAGCUGUGCCAGGUGAGUGAGAUUUGGAAUUUAUUUAUGAUUCCUUCCAUAAAUGUUUUCACUUUCUAUAUUUAAAUCUCCAUUUCUGUUCAUAUUCUCAGGAGCUGUUCUUGUGAGGAAAUUAAACAAGCUGCCGCGAAGCAAAUGCUGGUUGGUUGGAUAUGCAGAAACAGAUGCUGUGGAAAUAGCAAAUGAAUUCAACAGAAAAUAUGAAACAGAUUUGAGAAUCGGUCUUAAUGAUUGUCGCGAUUAUACAAAUGGUAAUAAGUUAUUUAAAUAAUGAACCUUAUGCAGCAUUCAUGUGUGUUUAUGUGUUAUCCCUUAUCACUGUAUCAAUUACUCAUGCAAUAUUGCAUUAUGAAGGUUUGAUCGGGGAACUCACCGGCGAAAAAGAUGUGCUCAAACGUUUGAGAAGCCUUGGUGGAUAGAAGUACUAUGGUGCUAAUUCAUAGGGACACAAAUGGUUGGAUGAACAUCUUCUGUAUUGAAGAAUGAAAUGAGUCAAUAAAAGUUAGUUAGCAUGGUUUGGUUAGUUACAAAUUCUGUUACAGUCAGGAAGUAAAGUAGUUAUGACAGUUAUUUGGCCUUAAAGUUGCAAUCACAUAGUGCAUACUUACAGUAUAAGUGAUAGGGGUUAGGGAACUCAAUUCUCAUAGACCAUUACCUAUGUGCACAUGAAUUCAACAAUGUAGAUGUGCUUCUCAAUAACUUGCUCAAUAUUACAGACUUGAAUUGAAUGAUACUUUCUCUGAUGUGAAGACUCAUGUAUUUCUCAUGGAUCCUCUAACUUUGAUUAACCACAUUCAUUCUUUUGUUAUUCAAGAAGAAAGCAACCGCAAAAAUAUGAUUAAAAUUGAAGACAAUUCUAUUUUGGUUAAUGUUACACAAAGACCUGAUUUCAAUCACAGAAAACUUUCAUAAGAAUUCAAAUAGGGUAUGCACUUUCUUUCAUAAUAAUAGUCAUACCAUUGAUUUCUGCUAUCAAAAAUAUAGACAACAGGAACAAACCUUAUGUGAAUAUGACUCAUAUGGAUAACAUUGAAGCUCGUCAACAAGUUGAUGGAAUUGAGGUGGCUUCUUCUGUAAAGCAUCAAUAUUCCUAUUUCUCAAGCUUAAUAUGAUCAACUUGUGAACUUGCUCAAACAAGAAAACUUAACAAACUCAGAACAGACUUCAUCCCCAAACCAAAUUUCAACAAGUCAUUCACUUAUAGAAUCCACAUCAAGUAUAUUUUGUAAUAGCCUUACUAAACCUGCUAGACAAAAUAAUUAUUGGAUCUCGGACAUUGAAGCCAACGAUCAUAUGUGUGUUCAUCUUUGCCUUUAUUUAGUUCCUACUACAAAAUUAAACUUGUAUAGGUAAGUCUCUAAUGAAAAUUUUGUUCUUCUCAAAUAUGGUGGUAACAUCAAUUUCUCGAAGAGUAUGAUUGGUUUCUUAAUUAACAAGAAAAUCAUAAAGUAAAAGAAAAGAGAGAAGAAGAAGAUAAAGACAAUUUAUAGUGGUAUAAAAACUGGAUUCUUAAUUCAAUUAUACAUUAGGGAAUAAUAUUUAUAAUUGAAUCUCAACCACACUACUUUCUCCCUCUAAUUAGAAUUAUAGGGAUUGAUGGAAGAACUGAUCACUAGUAUGUUAUUUAUAAGAAAAUUAAACUCUAACUUUCAACUAACAUAAUUGGUCCAACAGACCGACCCAAUUCAACAUGUUAACUUAAACAACAAGCUAACAUAUUUCGACAGAUACUGUUGAAAAAUAUAUUAUUUUCGAUUUUAUUAUUGGCUCUAAUAUUACCUUUAUUUUUCUUUAUUCUCCAUUAAGGAGAAAAUAAAUUGUAAUAAUUGUAUCCUCACUAUAUAAACCAGCCUAAGGCUAACGAAUAAAAUAUAACAACUUUUACCUAUUUUUUCCAAUAGGGUAUCAAGACCACUGGGUUAGGGGUUACCGUAAAGUUUUCCUCAACCUAUUGUUAUUGAGUUAAGAGCACUGGGUUAUGGGUUACCGUAAAACUUUCUUCAACCUAUUUUUGUUGGAUUAGGGAUUACCAUAAAACUUUCCUCGGCAUAUUUUUGUUCGACUCGCUUUCUUACCCGACCCGAUUCACAUACCCGUUUAGCCUUCUAUGGAGAAUAACAAAAACAGGUGAUCUUCCCCCAUCACAUGUCCACACUGGAUCCAACCAUGACGAACAACUGCAGCAUGAGUCAAGUGUCUUCCGCGGAAACGGCCUACGAACUAGGAACCUUGACGAGGGAAGAAGAUCAGACAAAGUUCCUUGGUGUGAUCACUGCAAACACGAAUGACAUACAUGUGAAACUUGUUGAAAGCUCAAAGACAAACCUCCUAACUGGAAGAAGAAAAGUGGUCGUGCAUUUCAGGCUAGUAAUUCUGAUCAAGGGCAGCAACCUCUUCCGUCUCAGUUUUCAUUCACUACGGAGCACCUAGACAGACUGUACAAAUUCCUCGAGUCUCCAGCCCAUUCUUGCUCUAUAGCAACAAAAGGUAAUUCUAUAUUUCUUAGUGUCAGUCUCAGUCAUACUUGCAUAGUAGAUUCAGGUGCCUCCGAUCACAUGACAUAUGAAUCUACUUUGUUCUCUUCAUAUAGUCCAUGUGCAGGUAAUCAAAAAAUAAAAAUCGCAGAUGGCUCUUUUUCAGUCAUUGCAGGUAAAGGGUCGGUUGUGUUUUCUCCAAUGUUAACUCUUAAAAAUGUCCUUCAUGUUCCAAAUUUAUCUUGUAAUUUAAUAUCCGUCAGUAAAUUAGCCCAAGAUAUAAAUUGUCAAACUAUUUUUUUCCGAUCUCACUGUGUAUUUCAGGAUUUGAACUCGGGGAAGAUGAUUGGCAGUGCUAAGGAGAAUUGAGGACUCUACUACCUUGACAUUGGAUUUGCAUCACAACUACCAUAAAAAACAAUAAGUUCCUGUUUUGUGUUUUUUUUCUGUUUUGAAUAAUAAAGAUAACAACAAUAUGAUAUGGCAUUUAAGCAUGGACGGAGGUAGUAAGAAGAAAGGGUGGGCUCAUGCCCCCACCACGUUCAUCAUUGAUUAAUAUUUAAUAAUAUAAUUAAUAUAUUAAUAUAUUUAAUAUACUAAAAAUUAGGAAGAAAAGUUAAUAAUUUCCCCACUUGAUAAAAUGAUACGGAGUAUCACACACAUCCAUCUGCAUUUAAAAUAAAAUUAAUUCUUUAAAUAAAAUUAAAAAAAUUUAUUUCUUUUCAUGUUCCUAUUAAUUCUCUUUUACUGUUUCCAAAUAGAAACAAACUGAUGGGAAAUUCAACAACAAAUAACAAUAACAACUCUAACAGAGCAAUAUGCAGCGGAUAAUCAAUUUCCCAAACUUGCAAGAAUCUGUGAGGAGCAACAACAAAUAAUCACGGCAACUAAAAUCAAGAGCAAUAUGCAGCGGAUAAUCAAUUUCCCAAACUUGCAAGAAUCUGUGAGGAGCAACAACAAAUAAUCACGGCAACUAAAAUCACCACCACAAGGGACACAAUAAUUUUUAACGUGGAAAAAUCUUCUCAAUGUGAGAAGUAAACAACCACGGGACCAAGCUAGUAAUAGAGCUCCACUAUGAUCAAAAUAUGGGUACAAGAGAGUUUUAAAUAUGGCACAAAUUCGUGCUCAAUAACCAACCAAAAACAGCAAGGUAACCAGUAUAACAAUCAGCCAAAACAAUGAGAAAACAAGCAUGAAAUUGAGAACAAAGUUCAGCAGAAAAACCAAAAAAUACUGCUACUGUCCGAGCUCGAUUUCUCCCACCUCAGACCUCUGAUCGAUGAUCCAACCGGUCAGAUUGAAGUACCAUGAGUCACGAACCUGCUGUCCAAAUUUCAUCCCGAUUCGACGGUGAAUGAAGGAGAAAUCGCGAAUCUAGUGCAGCUGCUCUGUUUUAUGCGAAAAUGGGUUUUGCUCUUCCUCUCUCACUUUUCUCUUGCCUCACUCUUUCAAUUCAGCUCUCUCACUCUCACUAAUCUGACCUCUCUCCACUUGGUUAAGUGAGACACAUGGGCUUGUACAUAUUGGGUCUUUCUCCACAUAGGAAGGGAGCCUAAAACCCAACAUAUCUCCCCCUCACAACUAUGUGGAGGUGACCGCCAAACCGGCGAUCUCACAGCAAGUUUCAAACUUGUUUCUCGGUAAUGCCUUGGUCAUCAUAUCAGCAUCAUUAUCAUCUGUAUGAACCUUGGCCAAUUCCAACAACCCAACAUCCAAAGCAUCACGUAUCCAAUGAUACCUAACAUCAAUGUGCUUGGACCUAGAAUGAAAAGUUGAAUUCUUACCAAGAUGAAUUGCACCUUGACUAUCACAAAAUAGCAAGUACUUAUCUUGAACAAAACCAAGCUCCUACAAGAAUUUCUUCAACCAUAACAAUUCCUUGCGUGCUUCUGUAAUGGCAAUGAACUCUGCCUCAGUAGUGGACAAUGCAACACACAUCUGCAAUCUGGAUUGCCAUGCCACAGCUCCCCCUGCAAACUUAAUCAAGUAGCCUGAAGUAGACUUUCUGGAAUCAAUGUCUCCAGUCAUAUCAGAAUCAGUAUAUCCCACAAGAGUAGGCUUAUCACCUCCAAAACAAAGCCUCAAACUGGUAGUAUCACGAAGAUACCUCAAAAUCCAUUUCACAGCAUUCCAAUGCUCUUUACCUGGAUUAGACAGAAAUCUACUAACUGUACCAACAACAUGUGCAAUAUCAAGCCUUGUACACACCAUUGCAUACAUUAAACUACCCACAACAGAUGCAUAAGGAACUCGUUGCAUAUUUGAUUUUUCAGCUUCAUUGGAAGGACUCUGACUAAUACUCAAUUUAAAAUGAGUAGCAAGAGGAGUACUUACAGCCUUAGCAUUUUCCAUCUGGAACCUCUGUAACACUCUUUCAACAUAGUGUUCUUGUGACAACCAAAGUUUCUUCUUGUUCCUGUCACGCAUGAUUCUUAUACCAAGAAUCUGCUUAGCAGCUCUCAUGUCUUUCAUGGCAAAUGACUCGCCAAUUGCUUCUUCAACCUGUCAAUCAUGGAAAUAUUUUUCCCAACAAUAAGCAUGUCAUCAACAUACAAUAACAGGAUAAUGAAAUCAUCAUCAGCAAACUUUUUAACAAAGCACAUUAUCAGAAGUAGUCUUCUUGUAGCCUUGCUCCACACAUAACUGACUCAAACUUCUAGUACCACCGACGCGGGCCUGCUUCAAACAAUAUAGACUCUUUCUCAGCCUACACACAUAGUUCCUUGCUUUAACCAGAAAGCCUUCAGGUUGCUUCAUGUAAAUCUCUUCCUCCAAGUCACCAUGAAGGAAGCGGUUUUGACAUCCAUUUGCUCUACCUCCAAAUUAAGAGUAGCAGCCAAACUCAACACGGUUCUAAUGGAUGACAUCUUCACCACAGGAGAAAAAAUCUCAUUGAAAUCAACACCCUUUCUCUGUCUGAAACCUUUCACAACCAAUCUCGCUUUAUACCUUGGAGAUGUAGAAGUGCUUUCUUGCUUCACCCUGAAGAUCCACCUGUUUUCUAAAGCCUUCUUGCCCUUAGGCAAUUUCACCAAAUCAAAAGUGUGAUUAUCAUGCAAAGACUUCAUUUCAUCUUGCAUAGCAUCCAGCGACUUCUUCUUUUCAUCACUCUCUAUGGCUUCAUCAUAACAUUCAGGUUCUCCUUCAUCAGUCAAGGUAACAUAUUCAUCAGAAGGAUACCUGGUGGGUGGUUUCCUCUGCCUAGUAGACCUCCAAACUUGAGCUUGAGGGAGUUCAGGAGCAUCACCAAGAUCCUCAUCUUGUGACAUUUCAUGUUCCUCUUCAUCAUCAUCAUUAGGAACAUCAAAAUCAUCUCCAAGGUGCUGAUCACCAACAUCAUCAUGUUGCUCAUCAUUCUGAACAUUAUUUUCAGCAGUAUCCAGAUCAUGUAUAGGCAUCCGAACUGGAUCAACAUCAGACAAACCAUUAUCAAUCUCAGGUGUAGUCUAAUGUAUAGGCAUCCGAACUGGAUCAACAUCAGACAAACCAUUAUCAAUCUCAGGUGUAGUCUUCUCCAUCUUAUCAAUGUCUUCAAUGGUUUGGUCUUCCAUGAACUUCACAUCACGGCUUCUAACAGCUUUCUUCUCAACUAGAUCAUACAUCUUGUACCCAAAUUCAUCCUGACCAUAACCGAUAAAGAUGCAAUGUCUUGUCUUCGCAUCCAACUUGGAUCUCUCAUCCUUUGGAACAUUCACAUAUGCUUUGCAACCGAAGACACGCAAAUGAUCAUACCUGACAUUCUUGCCAAACCAAAUCUUGUCUGGCACCUCAGCAUUCAAAGCAACUGCAGGACUCAGAUUAAUAACAUGCACUGCCAUGUACAAUGCUUCACCCCAGAAAUGCUUAGGCAAGUUUGCUUCAGAAAGCAUACACCUAACUCUUUCAAUCAAUGUCAUGUUCAUUCUCUCUGCUAAACCAUUCAGCUGAGGAGUUUUAGGAUGAGUCUUUUCAUGUCUGAUAUCGUGCUGCUUCCAAUAAACAUCAAAUGGUCCACAAUACUCACCACCAUUGUCAGUACGAAUGCAUUUCAGCUUCUUGCCUGACUGUCUCUCCACCAUAAUAUGGAACUCUUUGAAUUUCUCCAGAACUUGGUCUUUUGUCUUCAAAGCAUAGACCCAAAGCUUCCUGGAACAAUCAUCAAUAAAAGUAACAAAAUAAAGUGCACCACUAAAUGACUUUACCUUCAACGGGCCACAAACAUCAGAAUGCACCAAUUCAAGCAACUCUGACUUCCUUGAGGGAGGAUGUUUCUUGAAGGAUACUCUAGUCUGCUUACCAUCCAUGCAAUGAGAACAUUUCUCCAACUCUGCACUCUUUAAUCCCGGAAGUACAUCCUUUUUAGCUAAACAAUUCAGCCCCUUUUCACUGAUAUGACUAAGCCUACGGUGCCACAAAGAAGCCUCCAUAUCCAUGGCAUUCACACUGUCUUUAGCAACCAAUGCUUUAGUCCAAUACAGUUUAUUAAUUUUCUCCCCUCUGGCCACAACUAAGUUACCUCUGGUGAGUUUCCAUUUUCCUGAACCAAAGUGAUUAUGAUAACCACCAUCAUUAAGCAUCUGCAUAGAUAUCAAAUUAAAGCGAACAUCUGGAGCAUGUUUGACUCCUCUAAGCAACAACUGCACUCUCAUGUUGGUCUGCAAACAAACAUCACCAAUACCAACUACCUUGGACACACCAUCAUUACCCACCUUCAACACUCCAAAGUCACCAGAAGUGUAAGAUGUGAAGAACUCCUUUCUUGGUGUAACAUGCAGUGUAGCACCACUAUCAAUAAUCCACAUGCUCUCAUCUGAUACAAGAUUUACUGAAUCAUAGUCAUGGAGAAUAAUCAGAUCAUCACAAGUAGCAGUAGUAACACGGUCAUAAUCAUCAUGAUUCUUAUCUCUCUACUUACUGUUAUUAUUUUUUCUCUCCCUUUUCCAUAUGAAACAGUUCCUUUGUAUAUGCCCCAUUUUGUGACAAUAAUUGCACUCCACAUUCUUGUAUCUGGACUUUGACUUGCUUCUGUUGUUCUCUCUACUCGCACUUCUGCUAUUCUGUCUGUUCCCUUUCGGUUCCUUUCUUUGACUUCGGCCCUGUUCUCAGUGACAAGUACCUCGGAAUGAGAUGAAGUACCUUGUGCCUUCCUUCUCAUCUCCUCAUUAAGAACACUUCCCUUUACACUUUGCAAAGAGACAACACCAUUAGAAGCUGAGUUUGUAAUUGAAACCCAAAAAUUUUCCCAAGAAUCUGGUAGAGCAUUCAGUAGCCAUAAUCCCAACACUUCAUUAUCAAAUUUGAUACCCAUACCUAACAAUUGAUCUAGGAGCCCUUGAAAAUCAUUUAAGUGAUCUGAAAUAGAAGCCCCCUCCUUGUACCUCAAAUUCAUCAAGGAAUUCAACAAAUACAACUUAUUAUUCCCUGAUUUAGAAGCAUACAAAGAUUCAAUCUUCUUCCACAAGGAUCUUGCAUGUUCCUCAUUAGCAAUGUGAUAUAAACAUUGUCUUCUACAUAUUCCGAAUAAAACCACAAACCUGCUGAUGUUCAAAACUCCAAUCCUCAUCAGUCUUGGAUUCGGCUUCUCAAACACAGGAAGAUGCAAAUUCUUCACAAAUAACAUAUCCUUCAUUUUUCCCUUCCACAAGUGAUAAUUAGAGCCAUUCAAACAGAUCAUUCUAUUUGUAUUUGCCUCCAUCAUUCAAACAAGUCAAAACAUCCCCUUAACCAAAGAGCUCUGAUGCCACUCUGAUGGGAAAUUCAACAACAAAUAACAUAAACAACUCUAACAGAGCAAUAUGCAGCGGAUAAUCAAUUUCUCAAACUUGCAAGAAUCUUGUGAGGAGCAACAACAAAUAAUCACGGCAACUAAAAUCACCACCACAAGGGACACAAUAAUUUUUAACGUGGAAAAACCUUUUCAAUGUGAGAAGUAAACUAACCACGGACCCAAGCCAGUAAUAGAGCUCCACUAUGAUCAAAAUAUGGGUACAAGAGAGUUUUAAAUAUGGCACAAAUUCGUGCUCAGUAACCAGCCAAAAACAGCAAGAUAACCAGCAUAACAAUCAGCCAAAAUAAUGAGAAAAUAAGCAUGAAAUUGAGAACAAAGUUCAGCAGAAAAACCAUAAAAUACUGCUACUGUCCGAGCUCAAUUUCUCCCACCUCAGACCUCUGAUCGAUGAUCCAACCGGUCAGAUUGAAGUACCAUGAGUCACGAACCUGCUGUCCAAAUUUCAGCCCGAUUCGACGGUGAACGAAGGAGGAAUCGCGAAUCUAGUGCAGCUGCUCUAUUUUAUGCGAAAAUGGGUUUUGCUCUUCCUCUCUCACUUUUCUCUUGUCUCACUCUUUCAAUUCAACUCUCUCACUCUCACUAAUCUGACCUCUCUCCACUUGGUUAAGUGAGACACAUGGGCUUGCACAUAUUGAGUCUUUCUCCACAUAGGAAGGGAACCCAAAACCCAACACAAACCACUUUUCAUAUUCUUCUUUCUCCCACUCCUUAUUCUCUCACUACAAAAGUGUCUCUCUGUUUCUAGCUUCUUCUCCAUUGUUGUACUUUUAAAAGGUCAAUUUUUUAAUUUUAAUCUUUAUAAAUUUAUAAUUUAUUUUUAUUAUUGUAAUAAGAGUAAAAAAUAUAUUAUUACUUUCUUGAGCCUGAGAUUGUGUUAAUGGCAGAAAAUUUAUUUUUAGAGUUUUGUAGUGUUUGUUUGAAAUUAUUGUGUUUGUAUCAAUUUUAUAGUAUUGUUAUGAAUUUUUUGAAUAUGAUUUUAAUUGUGAUUUUUUGUUUUGUUUUUAGUAAUAAACAAUGGAAAAAUAUUUCAAAAUAAAAUCAAUAGAGGAAUCAUCAACUCCUAAUCCUCAAACGCCUAAUGAACGUCGAAGCCCAAAACUGGGUCCUCCCAUGAAAAAAAAGGUUUUUGGAGUUUGAAUUGGAAAAACUUUCGAACGAUCCCGGUUUAAGGCCAAAAAUGUCAGAUUAUCAUCCAAGUGAUAUAGAUGAAAUUAGAAGAUAUUAUUUGCAAAAGGGUCCUCGUCAACCAAAAGAAAUUACUUUUUCACAAAGAAAAUUUUGACCCCGUUACUCAAAAUUUCUGGCUCCGUCCUUGCAUUUAAGAUUAGGUCAUCCUAGUUUUCGUUACUUAAAACACUUGUUUCCUAAAUUAUUUCACAAUAAAAACUUAUUCGUUUAAAUGUGAAGCAUGUGAAUUUGCAAAGCAUCAUUAUUCCCAAUUUUCAAUACAGCCUUAUAAACCAUCAAAACCUUUUUCCAUUAUUCAUAGUGAUGUUUGGGGCCCUAACCGUACAAGUACACUCUCUCUCAAAAAAUGGUUUAUCACCUUUAUAGAUGAGCAUACAAGAGUAUGUUGGGUGUACUUGUUAAAGGGAAAAUCAAAUGUUUGUCAGGUUGUAAAGAAUUGUUUUUCAAAGAUGCAGAACCAAUUUCAAACAAAUAUCCAAGUCUUUAGAAGUGAUAAUGGUAAAGAAUAUUUUAACACUAUCCUGGGUGAUUUUUUUCUAAAAAAUGGGAUUGUACAUCAAAGUUCUUGUCCUAAUACUCCUCAACAAAAUGGAGUGGCCGAAAGGAAAAAUAGACAUUUACUAGAGGUUGCUAGAGUUCUACUUUUUUCAAAUAAAGUACCAAAUUAUUUAUGGGACGAAGUUGUUUUAACAGCUGCGUAUUUAAUUAACAGAAUGUCCUCCAAAAUUCUCAAUUUUCAAACUCCUAUUAAUGUCUUCAAAGAAUGUUUUCCUAGUACUCGUGUUUUAACUGAUUUGACUUUAAAAAUCUUUGGUUGCACAAUCUUUGUUCAUGAACAUAAAAAUGUUGGAAAACUUGAUCCACGUGCUAUAAAAUGUGUUUUUGUUGGAUACUCCCUAACCCAAAAAGGAUAUAAAUGUUUUGAUCCAAAAAAUAAGAAAAUGUUUAUCACUAUGGAUGUUACAUUCUUUGAAAAUAAACCUUUCUUUUAUGAUACUCAUCUUCAAGGGGGGAGAUAAACGGAGACUCGUUUAAAAUUGAGGACAUGAGUUUUUUAAAUAACCUAUCUUUGCCAGUAUCACAAAAUUCUAAGAUUUUUACACCUGCACCAACAGAAAAUGGCCAUGAUUCUUUAUUUGAUCCUACUCUUGUUAUAAGUAAGGAACCUUGUGAAUCUGAGUCUAUAUUUUCUCUUAUAGAAAAUAAUGAGAAUCCUGAAAACAAUUAUAAUGAUGAUCUAAUUGAAAUGCCAUAAAAUAAUGAGUCAUUUCAACAAAACAAAUUUGAAUUAGGAAACAGGAAUUGGAAAGGAAAGGUUUUUGUGAAAAAGCAUCAUAAAGGAAAGGACCAGUGGAGGGAAGUUGUAGAAAUUCUAAAAAGUGUACAGGUUGUUCUAGAAAUUCCAAAGUGGAGGGAAGUUGUACUUGAGGAGAUGAAAGCUCUUGAAAAGAAUAAAACUUGGAGUGUUACGUCACUACCAGAUGGCAAGAAGACAGUUGGAUGCAAAUGGGUGUUUACUGUGAAGUAUAAUUCAGAUGGAUCAAUUGAAAGGUACAAGGCUCGCUUGGUGGCUAAAGGCUUUACUCAUACCUAUGGUAUAGAUUACUCAGAGACAUUUGCUCCCGUUGCAAAAUUGAACAUUGUCAGAAUUUUUUUGUCUCUUGUUGCUAACAUGGAUUAGCCUUUGCAUCAGUUAGAUGUUAAGAAUGCAUUUCUUAAUGGCGAUCUAGAAGAAUAAGUAUAUAUGGACAUUCCUCCUGGCUUUGAAAACAAAGUUGGAUCAAAUGUGUGCAAACUAAAUAAGUCUUUGUAUGGAUUAAAGCAGUCCUCUAGACCUUGGUUUGAAAAGUUCACCCAGUCCAUGAAGAAACAAGGGUACAUCCAAGGACGGGCUGAUCAUACCUUGUUCACAAAAUUCUCCCACGAUGGAAAAGUUAUUGUCCUGAUUGUUUUUGUUGAUGAUAUUGUCCUUACUGGAGACGAUACAGCGGAAAUGACAAGAGUAAAAGAGAAAUUGGCAGUAGACUUUGAAAUCAAGGACCUGAGAUUCAUGAGAUAUUUUCUAGGUAUGGAGGUUGCUCGGUCAAAAAAUGUAUUGUGGCUUUACAACAAAAAAACAUUAUAAACUUGUUGAAAGAAACAGGAAUGAGUGGAUGUCGUUCUGUAGAUACCCAUAUGGAUCCUAAUGCUAAACUUUGGGGAGAAGGUAAUGUUUUUGUUGAUACUGGGAGAUAUCAGAGAUUGAUUGGGAAACUGAUUUAUUUGUCACACACUCGACCUGAUAUUGCUUUCUCAGUUAGUGUAGUGAGUCAGUUUAUGCAUUCUCCUUUCGAGGAACAUCUUGAGGCAGUCUAUAGGAUACUGAGUUAUUUGAAGGGAAAUCCUAGAAAAGGAUUAUUUUUUAAGAAGACUAGUGAAAGAAAUGUGUCUAUCUUCACCGAUGUCGAUUGGGCAGGUUCAGUCAUAGAUAGAAGAUCAACCUCUGGAUAUUGUACCUAUGUUUAGGGUAAUCUUGUGACAUGGAGGCGCAAGAAACAAGGAUUUGUAGCAAGGAGUAGUGCAGAGGCCGAGUUUAGAGCUAUGUCUCAAGGUAUUUGUGAAGGAUUAUGGAUCCUUAGAGUCCUAGAAGAACUCAAGAUGAAAAUUGAGCUUCCAUUGAAAUUGUACUCUGAUAGUAAAGUUGUUAUUAGCAUAGCUCAUAAUCCAGUUCAAUAUGACAGAACCAAGCAUAUCGAGAUUGAUCGACACUUCAUAAAGGACAAGUUAGACGCGGGAAUCAUAUGUCUACCCUUCGUGACUUCAAGUCAACAAACUGCGGAUAUCCUAACCAAAAGUUUGACAAGACCUACUUUUGAGUAUUUGAUACACAAGUUGGGCAUGAUAGAUAUAUAUGCACCAACUUGAGGGGGGGUGUUGGAAAAUAUAUUAUUUUCGGUUUUAUUAUUGGCUUUAAUACUACCUUUAUUUUUCUUUAUUCUCCAUUAAGGAGAAAAUCAAUUGUAAUAAUUGUAUCCUCAUUAUAUAAACCAUCUUAAGGCUGGUGAAUAAAAUAUAACAGAUUUUACCUAUUUUUUUCCAAUAGCUACACUAGCUCUUUGACUUCGACAGAGCUCUUCGACUUCAACUGAAUUUGCUACAACACUAGCUUAUAACCCAUAAGCUGCAAAUAUUCACCUUGGAACGAUUUUUGAACCAUGAAACCAACUAGCUGUCAUCAUGCAGUCCUAUCAGCGACAUACAGUGGAAAAACUUGCAACUUGGUAAUGUCUUGGUGAUCAUAUCAACAACAUUGUCAUCAGUAGAAACUUUUAGCAUUUGGACUUCUCCACACUCGAUUAUCUCUCUGACGAAAUGUAGCCUCACAUCAAUGUGCUUGGUUCACUCAUGAUAGGAUGAAUUCUUCGACGUGUGUAUUACACUUUGACUAUCAAGUUUAACAAUGAUUGAUUGAACUUGAAGUUUGAGCUCCUUAGCAAAAACUUCAAGCCACAAUGCUUCUUUCAUAUCAUUGGUGAGGUAAAUAUACUUCGCUUCAAUGGUUAAUAAUGUAACAACCUUAUGAAGUGUUGCUUUCCAACUGAUUGUUGUGCCAAAUAUAGUGAACAUGUAUUCAGAAAUAGAUUUUCUAGAAUCCAUACAAUCUGCAUAAUCAGAGUUGACAAAUCCUUUGAUUUUGACUUUGCUAUCAUCACCAUAGGCUCCACCAUAAAUCAGGACUCUGCUCAGAGACCCAUUUAUGUACCUUAGAAUCCACUUUAAUGCUUGUCAGUGCGCCUUCUCAGGAUUGGCCAUAUACCUGCUUACAAGGAUCAUUUCAUAUGCUAUGUCUAGCCUUGUACAUACCAUAACAUACAUCAAAGAACCUAUUAUACUAGCAUAUGGAAUACUAUUCAUAUAGGCUCUUUCGAUUUCAGUACUAGGACUUUGAGUCGUACUUAACUUGAAUUGAGGAUUAGUCGGUGUUACAACAGGUUUUGAAUUCGACAUACCAACCUUAUCGAGAAUCUCCUUCAGGUAUGUCUCUUGAGAUAAGCAUAAUCUUGACUUCUUUCUAUCUCUCUGGAUGUCAAUCCCAAUAAUCCUGGAGGUAGCUCCUAGAUCUUUUAUGUCGAACUCCUUAUUGAGUCAUGCGUUCACCUUUACCACAAUCUCAACACUGUUUCUUGUUAUGCGGAUGUUAUCCACAUAAAGCAACAUAAUUUUAAGUAAACACAGUGGUCAAAUUGGAUCCUAGUGAAACCUAUGUGUGCCAUGAAUUUGUUAAAUCUCCUAUUCCAUUGUCGAGGAGAUUGUUUCAGGCCAUAUAACGACAUAUUCAACUUACACACAUAAUCUUCCUUUCCUUUUUUUGCAUGCUCUUCAGGUUGCCUCAUCAUAAUUGUUUCAUCUAGAUCACCAUACAAGAAAUGAGUAUUCACAACCAUCCAUUCUAAUUCUAGGUCAAACUUUUCCACCAUGGCUAACAAUGUUCUGAUGGAUCUAUGCUUUACAACAAUUGAGAACACAUCAUUAAAGUCGACUCCUUCUUUCUGAGUGAACCCACUAGAAACCAAUAUUUCCUUAAAUCACUUCGAAAUCACUCAUUUGAUUCCUUCUUUAACCUUAAAGUUCUACUUACAACUGACUAACUUGGCCCUUGCAGGUUUCUCGAUCAGCUCUUAAGUGUUAUUAUCAUGAAGAGAUUCCAUAUCAUCAUCCAUGGCUUUCAUCCAUUAAGUCCUAUUUCAAAUCCUCAUAGCUUCAUUGUAGUCUCUUGGUUCUUCAUCCAGAACCUAAUUUGUAGAUAUUAAGGCAUAAGUUAUGACAUCUGCAUAACCAAGUCUCUGAGGUGGCUUGAAGACUCUUCUCGAUUUGUCUCUUGCCAGCCGAUAGUCAUUUUCAGUCUCUUCAUCUUCAUCAACAAAUUGGACUUGUUCUGUGACUUCAUCUAGGUUAUGCAAUUCAACAUAACUAUGCUCCACAUCAACAAGAAUCUCUUCUUGUUCUAUCUCUUCUCCAGAGAUCUUUGUACUUCCACCAACGUGAUCAAUUUUCUUGAAAUCCAUCUCAACUUAAUUGAAAACUACAUCUCAAUUUUUGAUACACCUCAUAUGACCUGGCUCUAGGCACCACAACCUAUAAGAUUUGACUCCUUUAGAGUAUCCAAGGAAGAUACAUCUCAAAGCUCUAGGUUUGACAUUGUAUUGCCUAAUGUGAGCACAUGCUACACAACCAAAUUAGAUGGAUGCCUCGACUAGAUUUCUUCAGGUGUCUUCAUCCCCAAGGAAGUCGAGGGACACCUAUCUAUCAAGUAUGCUACUGUUGUAGCCGCCUCAGCCCAAAACACAUUCUUUGAUUAAACCUUUCAGCCAAACCAUUUUGUUGGGGACUGCAUGCACUAGUUUUGUGAUUUGCAAUGAUAUACGCGUCAUAACUGUCGAAAGCCUCAUUACAAAAUUUAAGACCAUUGUCAGUCCUCAACCUCUUAACCUUCCUGCCAGUUUGGUUUUCGAUCAGAGUCUUCCAACUUCUGAAAUUUUUAAAAGUUUCAUCCUUAGUCUUCUAUAUGAAUACCAAUAACUUUAUAGAAUAAUCAUCAACUAUGGAUAGAAAAUACUUUUCACCUGAGUGUGAAGGAUUCAUUGCAGACCUCCAAAGAAAUGUAGUGACUACACAACAUGGCCUUGUCUUUUCCUUCAUUUUUUCCACGAAUUUUAUAGCUUACCUGGACAACAAAACUCAUGACUGCAUCAAUCUCUUCUUUUCCACAAGUUAUGGUACGCACUCACUUUUCCUGCAUGAGGACAUAGUUAACUCUGUUAAGCGCGGGAAAGGGAUCUUGAGUGAGCAGAUUUGAUCUCAUUGUUCCAUACAUUGUGUCAUCGAGUCCCACGAGGAACUGAUGCACUCUUUCUUCUUCACGUUUCAUUUCAAAGCAUAAUUCCAAACAAGCGCACUUUCCACAAGUUGAUAUUUGCUCAUAAUUUGCUAAUUCCUCCCACAACUUUUCCAAUCGACCAAAAUAGAUCACAAUAGUUAAUCCUUUCUAUUUGCAGUUUAGCUGUUGUAUACGCGGACCAUUGACAACUGAAAACCUCUCUUUGAUAUCUAUCCAAAGAUCAUGUGCUACCUCCAUGUGUGACAUGGUGGAACAUAACGGGGCUCAAUGAUAUUCAUUAUCCACGAGACUAAUAACGAGUUAUUCGUCCACCCAUCUUCCCAUCUUCAAGAUCCGAUGAAUCUUCAUCUGGUUUCUUGAUAGUUCCAUCUACAAAACCAAAUUUCUUUUUGGAUCUCAACAUAGUUCGGAGUGAGCGCACCCACUCAUUAUAGUUUUCUCAUUUCAAUUAGACUUGUAUCACCAAACUUCCAGGAUUGUCAUUUGGUGUUAUGUCGUAGGGAGAAAUGGUAUUUCUUACAUGGUUUUGUUUUCUUCUCCAGCUAUGGUAACAAGAAACGAGACAACCAAUUUCUUAGAUCAGGAUUUGCUUUAAUACCAUUAAGAAACGAAUAAAGGUGAAUAGUGUGUUUUCUAUUGAUUCUAAAUCAUAUAUUUAUACAAUAAAACUAUGAUCUAUUUUCCUAAAAUAUCAAGUUAUACUUAUGUUAAUCAGAAUUACUUUACAAAUAUUCAUUAUGACAAGAUGAAAUAUGAUUCUAUUUAAUAUAGCAACUUAAUAUAUAAGAUCAAAUAUGAUUAUAUUUAAUAUAUCAACUUAAUAGUUCACAUUUGAUUAUUAUUUUUAGGACGUUCAGUUUUUUUAAAAAUAUUUGAUCUAACAUAUUUUUUUACUAAUCUUCUAUUUACAAGUCACAUUUUAUGAACAUUAUAGAUGAUAUUUUGUUUAAUUUCAUAUAGUGUAUAAAAUAUUUAUUUGGAGAGUAUAAGUAUUUAUUUUAUAUACAAACUACAAUCCAUUAAAAUAUAGCCAAUUAAAAAACUUAAAACCUUUACCCUAAGUAAAUUGAAAAUUUUGAUAAAGUUUUCUUUUUAAUAAAAUAACAUUCAUCUAGCAUUACUAUCAUUUAUUUAUUAAUGUCACAAAUUUUCACUUAAACCUAUUUAUUUCUAUCAUUCAAUCAAAAAUGUAAAGUUUUUUCUUAAUUAUAAUUAUUACGACCAUUAAAAACAUAUAUAUUCACUACUAAAAAAUCCACAUAAAAAAUCACAAUUAAAUAAUCAUCAUUAAAAAUAAAACACUAAAUACAGUUCAAGAUUAAAGGAAAUAUAUAUUCAUGAAUAAGAUAAUUGAUAUCAAUGAAAGAAUUGUUAAAACAGAAACACUAAGGUAUACUUAUGUAAAAUCACACUAUUUUAUUUAAUACUGAAACAUGGCUUAAAUAGCCUACAAAAUGAAAACUGAAAUAGUAAAAAUAACUGCAGAAAAAUAGGAACAAAACGUAGAGAGAAAAGACUGAAACAAACUCCUACUAACCCACUAAAAUAGAACGUGCUCAACACCUCCUAAAAGCACUAGGUUAAUUUAAAUCACUAACAGAAAUCCUAAAUUGUAGCUAGUACACUAACACAUCAGAUCCAACAAUUCCUCCCUUUAAACUGGAAAUGCUAAUCAAGCAUCCAGUUUAAUGUUCUCGAACUUGUAUCCCAAGCAAGCUUCUUAGCUUAACAAAUGUCUCCAAUUUUACUGGUUUAGUCAUGAUAUCUGCCACCUGCUCUUCAGUCCCACAAAACACUAGCUUCACAACUUCUUGACUUAUAAGAUCACGUAAAUAAUGAUACCUCACAUCUAUAUGUUUUGUCCUCUUAUGCAUCACUGGAUUUUUUGAGAGUUUAAUGGAGGAACUAUUAUCGCAUAAGAUCUCGAAGCACUGACAAGGCUUUGGUGCUGAACUGUUAAAGAAUUCCUUUCACCCAAACACAGUGGCAAGCACAGGAUGUUGGCAGCUACACUCAGCUUCGGUCGAGGAUAAAGUGACUAUAGCUUGUUUCGUGAACUCAACACACAGCUGCUUUUAGUAGAAAUACAUAUCCUGACGUGCUCUUCCUGUCGUAUAUAUCUCCGACAUAAUCGCUAUCAGUAUACUUUGGUAUUGAUCAGAUCCCGCUUAUAGAAGAGACCAAAUCCAGAGUGCCCCUUAAGUACCUUAAGCCUCUUAGCAAUUUGCAUAUGCUCUUCUCUAGGUUUGGCCAUGAAACGAGAUAUUAAACAUACCACAUACAUCAUAUCAGGUCUGUGACUGUUAAUACAUAGGCAGCCCACAGUUGCUUGUAUUAGUUAGGCCAUCCACAUCUUGCCUUCUCUUCAAUUGAGUUUGUCCCUGGUACUAUAGAUUUUGACAGGAUGCAAUUCCAUUAUCUUGAAUCUUCAACGCACUUCCUGUAGCAUACUUCUUCUCUGACAUAGAUGGAUUCCCUUCAUGCUUUGAUGUACUUCAACACCAAGAAGAAACUUCAUCCUCCCUAGAUCAGUCAUCUCGAAUUCUUGUUUCAUUGAUUGCUUAAACUCUCACACAUCACAUCAUUCCCAAACAAAAUUAAAUACACACAUAAACUUACCAUAAGCAAUUUUUCUCCAACACUCUUGUUGAAUAAAGUGUGAUCAUGGUUGCUUUUCUCAAGCCCUUAUGUCUGAAAUAACUUUCAAUUCGACUAAACCAUGCCUAGGAGCCUGUUUAGGCCGUAAAAGCUUUGUUAAGUCGAUAAACUUUGUUCUCACCUUUCUGACAAAUCCUCUGGUUGAUCCACAUACACAACUCCUUUAGCUCCCGUACAAGAAGACACUUUACAUCCAACUGAUACACUGUCCAUCCUUUUUGUGCCAGCACAGCGAGCAUAAUUCUUAUAGUGUCUCAUCGAGCAACUGGAGCAAAACUUCAUCAUAAUCGAUCCCUUCCUUUUGAGCAUACCCUUUUACACCACCUCGCCUUGUAUUAUCGACCCGUCCAUCCUCAUUUAGUUUUUUUUGAAACAACCAUUACCCCGUAUUUUUGCUCGAGCCGGAGAACCACAAGCUCCCAAGUAUUGUUCUCCAUCGUAGCUUGUAAUUCACGCUUCAUUGCCUUCUAUCCAUUUAUCUUCUUGGUCGCCUCCUACAAAAUUUGGGAGGAUCAUUGUGAAAAAAACAGCACCAUACUGCGCCUAUUUCUUCUUCCGAAAAUUAUGCUCCACUCUCAUAGUCAUGCAUCCACGCGGGUCUCUUCGUCUUUUUGAGCUUUCGAUCAAAAGUACUUGGUGCAUCAGAAUUUUCAGAAUCUGGCUCAACUGUUGCAGGUUGUUUCUUCUUAGUUGUUCUUCGCGGUCAGCCUCCACCUCUUCUUCGUGUUCUCCCUCAGUUGUUACUUCCUUCAUCAUUGCAAGCCAGAAUAUCAGAUUUGACUCGGUUCCGCUGUUUCCAGUCCCAUUUCCUUCCUCUCGAAUAUAACAUCUCGAUUAAUACUAUUUUAUUUGAUAUUGGAUCAAAUAGUCGAUACGCCUUGAUUCCUCGUGAUCCGAGCAGAAUGCAUUGUGACUUAUAUUAUGUUUUAUCCUAUGUUGUUCAGGAUGUGUACCUAGCAAUGCAGCCAAACACCUAAAAUGAUCAACACUUGGUGUUGACCCCAUUCCAACACUCUUCUGGCACCAUGUCAUUUACAGCACUUGUCUACUCCUAUUUAGCACAUGCGUGUCCAUCUUGGCAGCUUCAGGCCAAAUUUCUUUGGCAUUUCUUCUCUGUGAGCAAACAUCGCAACCAUAUUAUUUAUGGUAUUGAUUUCUCUUCUUUCAGCUACUCCAUUUUGUUGUGGAGUUAGGCAGCGGUUAAUUGUCGUCUAUCCCAUGUUCCUCGCAGAAUGGUUGAAGGAGGUUUGAGUGAAUUCUCCUCCCCCUAUCUGUCCUUAAACAGCAUAUAUACUUUCCAUUUUUCGACACGACUUUUGACCUUUUAAACAAUGUCAAAGUUCACUCUUUUUCUGUACAAGAAAGUAUAUCAAGUCUGUGGGAAAAUCAUAAAUAAGAACUACAUGUACCUUUUACACUAUGACAUGUUAAGAGAUAUAGGACACUAAAUCUCUGCAUGCAACUAGUUCGGAGUUUGUUCAUGAGUCUUUCCACUUUGCCUCUUUUUGAUAUAAAUUCUCGAUGUUGCUUCCCAACAUUACAAACUUCACAUACCCCGUCUGCACUUUUGAGUUGUGGUAACCCUUUGACCAUUCCUUUAUACUGCAUGGUGUGAAUGGCUUUGUUGUUUAAAUGCCUAUAGCGCUUGUGCCAGAGGUUUUCAACUUCCCCUCCUUCUACCUUCAUGCACUUGCUCGAGAGAGGUUUCCUAAAUGCAAACACAAUGAACAGUCGAUUCGCACUCAUUCUAGUGUUCAUAAUUAGGCCUCUUUGAGGAUGGUAAACUUUGCACAUCGCUCCUUUAAUACGAAUAUCUACUCCCUUCUCUUGUAGUUGCCCAAUGCUUAAAAGGUUGCUGGAUAAUUUUGGAACAAAGAAAACAUCAGAUAUCAAUUGAGUUAUGCCCUCAACUUCAAAUCUGAUAUUUCCUUUUCCCAUAAUAGCCAACUUUGAGUUAUUUCCCAAUUUUACAGUGUGCCUGAAGCUCUCAUUUAUUUCACAGAACCAGCCUUUGUUACCUGUCAUGUUGUUUGAACAACCAGAAUCAAGAAACCAAACUCCCUUGUGUCCAUCACCUUCAACUUCUACUAGUGUCAUCAGCAAUAACUCUUCACUAUCAUCAAAUUCAACAUAGUUUGCUUCCCUUCUCAUACUCGGACACUCAUAUUGGAAAUGUCCCAGCUUGUGACACCUGAAGCAUUCAAUAGUAGUCUUUUCGUAACCUGGCCUGGUUCUUCCUCUCCCUCUUGAGUUGUUACUGCCUCCUCUUGGAUAGUUGUUCCUUCCUCUACCACGUCCAAAGUAAGAGUCAUGCUCUACCUUUAGAGCCUGCUCUUCACUUUUCUUAUGGCACACCUUAUGCUCGUGUACCAGUAACAAGCUUUGUAGCUCAUCAACCGUAAGUUGGUUGAUGUCCUUAGAUACUUCAAUCGAACACACAACAAAGUUGAAAUUCUCUGUUAAUGAUCGAAGUAUCUUUUCGACGAUUUUAACAUCUCCCAUAUCUUCUCCACAAUUUCUCAUAUCAUUCUGCAAAUAACCAUUACUCUUCCGAAGUAAUCGUUAUCGAUUCUCCCAUCUUCAUCUCCAAGUUUCGAAAGUCCUUCGAAAACUGCAGUGGGCACGCUUCACUCGGUGCACUUCCUGGUACUUGGUUUCAUUGACUCCCAUAAUUGUUUUGCAGGUCUCCUUCUGUGUGCAAGAUGCGUCUUCAAGAAGGACUUGUCAAUGGCCUUGAACAAAUAGAUUUAUUGCUUUCAGUCUUUGAGUUCUGCUUCAUCCACUUCCUUUUUCGGGCUGCCGUCACCACUUCAUUUUUGUCAGGUGCUUGGCAACCAUCUUGAAUUACACACCAGUAUUCUUUUGAACGCAUCAAGUUCUCCAUGACCAAACUCCAAUGAUCAUAAUCCCCAUCAAAUUUGGGAACACAUGGGGUAGUGAAAUUUCCUGAUCCAGCUGCCAUUUCUCUCACUAAUGUUUUCACUCUCAGUGUUUAAUCACUCAAUCAGGCCCCCUUGCGAGAGCUCUAUACCAAAUGUUAAAACAGAAACACUAAGGUAUACUUCUGUAAAAUCACACUACUUUAUUUAAUACUUAAACAUGGUUUAAAUAGCCUACAAAAUGAAAACUGAAAUAGCAAAAAUAACUGCAGAAAAAUAGGAACAGAACGUAGAGAGAAAAGACUGAAACAAACUCCUACUAACCCACUAAAAUAGAACGUGCUCAGCACCUCCUAAAAGCCCUAAGUUAAUUUAAAUCACUAACAGAAAUCCUAAAUUGUAGCUAGUACACUAACACAUCAGAUCCAACAAGAAUAUUCUAUUUUUAUUGAAUUUUUAAAAUAAAAUAAAAAUGUUUAAUUAAAAUAUCACUUAUAUAUACAUAUAAAUUAUAAGUUGUAACCAAAGAAUAUUCAAGUUUGAACGGUUCAACAGUAGAACCAACCUAAAUGUAAGAGAUUUUGACUAAAGAAUUAACAGAUGCUAUGUUGAUGGAACCUAAACCCUAACCCCUAUUAUAUAUAUAUAUAUGGAUUUCAUUCUUGUCAUGAAAUAGCAUUUGCAAACAAGAGAAUUCUCUUUGUCCAUUCUGAUUAUAGCUUCCAUUAUGGGUGCAGAAAUUUUCGGAAGAAACAUAUUUGGUCGUGUGGAACCUGACCCGGACGAUGACAGCAUCCUUGAAAGAGAUUACAAGAUUAAAGUGGCAGCUUAUGAAUUACUCUGAUGUCUGAUCAUGACUGAGAUUGUAAUGUUACUUUUAUCAUUAAAUUACACUUUGUUAUGAAUUCCAAAUGUCUUGAUGAAAUAAACUAGUAGUUUUUACAUCUCACAGAAAAGAAAUUGUAUCAUGUUUAUGAUGAGCUUUUCUGUGUAGGCCAGUUGAUACUCAUGCUAUCAUUUACUGUUUUUUAGGAUGGAGUUUUCGUUUGCAGAAUGCUUUUGAAAAUGUAGUCAAUGAAACCUUUAGCAAGAUGUAAGAAACAACCCAAUCAUACUGUAUCUAUACACCAUAGACCGCAUCAUGUUAAAUUUGAGACUAACUUUCUUUUAUUUGUAAGGGAAAGAAUAAAUUAGUCCAAAUAAAUUUCCCUUACAAUUAAUAAAAAGUAAGUAUUGUUUAUAUUUUUAAACAUUAACACGAUAAAAAACGGAUAGUCAUGCACAUCUGCAUACCGAUUUUUAAAUAUAGUCUUUCUCUUUUUUGCCGAUCUACACACUGUAUUGUCUUUGUCUCUUAAGACAUCCCUACAAAAUCGGGUUUUUUAAGAUGAGUGAUUUUGCUCAAUAUAAACUCUUUUAGGCUCUUUUAGGCUUUAUCUUUAAUCAACGUGGAACUUUGUUUUCUUCAAUACAGCCCUAAGUGCGUGAACAUAAAUGGUAGGUGUCAUGAAAUAUCCUUAAGUGGAUUUGGUUUUUUUAAUACACCUCAUUACGCCAAUCAAUACUAUUGGUCUUUGUCGCGUACAUUAAUGAUGGGUGGUCAGAUUAUUGGCGCACAUAUAAACGAAGAGAUAUCUUGAUUGUUAGAUAUGAGAUAAUUUAAAAUUAAAUAGAGCAUGACAAUCCUUGUGUUGGGCCUAGUGGUGGAGGUUUGCGUUAAGAGUGUGUUAAGAGUGUGAUUCUCUCAAAGUCUUAAAUUGGUUUGGAUGUCUUAGUAAACCUGUUAGACAAAAUAAUUAUUGGAUCUCGGACUCUGAAACCAACGAUCAUAUCUGUGUUCAUUUUUGCCUUUAUUUAAUUCCUACUACAAAAUUAAACUUGCAUAGGUUAGUCUCCGUAAUGACAAUCUUAUUCUUGUCAAAUAUGGUGGUAACAUCACUUUCUUACCGAGUAUGAUUGAUUUUUUAAUUAACAAGAAAAUCACAAAGUAAAAGAAAAUUGUGAUAUAAACACUGAAUUCUUAAUUCAAUUACAUAUUAUAGAAUAAUAUUUACAAUUGAAUCUCAAUCACACCACUUUCUCCUUUUGAUUAGAAUUAUCCGGGAUUAUGGAAGAAGUGAUGACUAGUAUCCCCAUAUCUUUAUUCUCUCAUGAAGAUCUACAAUAUACUAUGUUCUCUCUUUGUAGUUUGCCCAUAUCUUUGACGGAAAAUGUGUUGGAAGGCUUGUUGACGCAUUCAUUAACUUAGCAUUACAGUUUCUUGUAAAAAAAAUGUAUCAUCUACAUACACAAGUAUGUAUAAUAUUGUGUUGGACCUAGUGGUGGAGGUUUGAAUCCUUUCAAAAUCUUGAAUUCUGCUGGAUACAAUCAAUCUUUAUGUUGGAUCAGUCUAUAUAGAGAUUUGCUCUCUGCCUUUAAACGGCAUCCCUCUAAUGAAUAAAUAUCUAAGAUUUAAAAAUAGAAAACAUGACAUAAUAACACAAUAUCAAUAGUUUUAUUGAUUUUGUGUUCUAUAACAACUUAAUAAUUAACAUCAACAAGCUAAAUGCUGAAAAUAAAAGUGAAUAUUACUUUCUAUGUAUUACAACGUGAUUAGUUCUCAAGUAUAUAUUAAAUGUUGUAGCACAGAUUUAAUGAACUAAACAUAUAUAUUUUCUUAGUUCAAAUGAAAUAUAUUUUCUUAAAAUAAAUGUACAAGAAUAUAAGAAAUCAUCACAAUAUAAAAGAGAAACGAAGAUUAAUUUUGUCUAUAUGAUCUUAAAUUAUUGUAGUGGUAUGCCCUUAAUCAAAGAUUCCAUUAAUGAAUAAAUUAUAGCAAGUGAAAAUGAAAAAAAGACUGAUGGGGUGAGAGAGGCUCGAACUCUCGACCUCAGGAUAACUCUUAGCUAUGAGACCUACGCGCUAGCCAACUGCGCCACCACCCCAAUGAUGUUGGAAAAUUAACUAUACUUUAUAUACUUGGAUAAACAUUCCGAUCAUUAUAAGGAAAAUAAUAUUUAUAUUUGAAAUCAAGUCUAAUGAAAAUAGAAAAGUAACUAAUUUUUCAUAAGAAAAGUUAAUCGACGAUACGAUUCCAUCAAAAGUUCAAGAAUUUCUUCUUUCCCUUACGAUUUAUAAAAAGUAUUGUUUAUAUUCUUAAACAUUAACGCGAUAAAAAAAAGAUAGGAGUGCAUGCACAUCUUCUUUCCUACUUGUAAAUAUAGUCUCUCUCUUUUUUGCCAAUCUACAUAAUACAUGGUCUUUGUCCCUUACGCACCCCUACAAAAUCGAUUUUUUAAGAUGAGUGGUUUCACUCAAUAUAAACUCUUUUAGGUUUUAUCUUUAACCAACGUGGAACUUGAUUUUUUCCAAUACAUCCCCUCGUACCCAUCUUUUUUGAGCUUGGUGCAUGAACAUAAAUGAUAGGUGUCAUGAAAUAUCCUUACGUGGAUUUGGUUUUUUUAAUACAUCCUAUUAUCCCUAGCACUAUUGGUUUUUGUCACAUAUAUUAAUGAUGGGUGGCCAGAUUAUUGGCGCACAUAUAAACGGAGAGAUAUCUUGAUUGUUGGAUACGAGAUAAUUUAAAAUUAAAUAGAGCAUGACAAUUCUUGUGUUGGUCCUAGUGGUGGAGGUUUGGAUGUUGAGAGUGUGCUUAUCUAAAAGUCUUAAAUUUGAAUCCUGCUAGGUGUAAUCAAUCAUUGUGUUAGGCCAGUCUAUACGGAGCUUUGCUCUAGAUUUAAACGCGGCCCCGCUAGUGGACGGAUAUCAAGAUUUAAAAACACACGAUGAGCUUCAAUUUUAGACUUUGUUUUGAGAGUAAGGACGUAGCCUAGGGUAACAUAGAGUCCCACAGACACGAAGGUUGUGAUAGUUGGGUUUGGAUCCAAAGAGAUGUUCAUAAGGACAUUUAUUAUUACAUUGAGGAGUGUGCAUGUGAUUUAUGAGAUACACUUCCAUUUGAAAAGUAUAACACCCAAAUUUUUGUGGAACAAAAGAGUGAGAAAAGAGAGUAAGAGCAGUCUCUACAAUAUAGUGAUGCAUGAGUUUUGCAAUGCCAAUAUGUUCAGGUGUAUAAGGUCGUUAAAAAAAUAGGAAACUCCAUGAUAAUUAAGUUAAUAUUUUAGUUUGAAAUAUUUAGUGCCCCCAUCAGUAUAUAUGGACUUGACUUUGCGGGUGAAAAAGUUUUCAAUUUUAAAGAGAUAUUGAUGAAAUAUGAUAGCUACAUAUGUUUUACUUUUUAAUGGAUAAAUCCAUGUGUAGCGUGUGAGAUGAUCCACAAAUAUAAAAUAAUAUUUGUAACCAUUUAUGGACAAUAUAGGAGAUGGUCCCCAAACAUUAAAAAAAAA
This 30101-nucleotide long non-coding RNA is filed under the name Lathyrus oleraceus (garden pea). Its description in RNAcentral is "Pisum sativum (pea) long non-coding RNA (PSAT_LNC004198)". Lineage: Eukaryota; Viridiplantae; Streptophyta; Magnoliopsida; Fabales; Fabaceae. The record is from RNAcentral.